UGGCUCAGUGGUACAGUGCUUGCCUUGUAUGCAUGAGGCCCUGAGUUCGAUUUCUCAG
This 58-nucleotide transfer RNA is filed under the name Dipodomys ordii (Ord's kangaroo rat). It matches the Rfam family "tRNA", at positions 8 to 63 of the family's 71-position model. Rfam says of the family: Transfer RNA (tRNA) molecules are approximately 80 nucleotides in length. Their secondary structure includes four short double-helical elements and three loops (D, anti-codon, and T loops). Further hydrogen bonds mediate the characteristic L-shaped molecular structure. tRNAs have two regions of fundamental functional importance: the anti-codon, which is responsible for specific mRNA codon recognition, and the 3' end, to which the tRNAs corresponding amino acid is attached (by aminoacyl-tRNA synthetases). tRNAs cope with the degeneracy of the genetic code in two manners: having more than one tRNA (with a specific anti-codon) for a particular amino acid; and 'wobble' base-pairing, i.e. permitting non-standard base-pairing at the 3rd anti-codon position. The record is from Rfam by way of RNAcentral. Lineage: Eukaryota; Metazoa; Chordata; Mammalia; Rodentia; Heteromyidae.